AUCGUCAAUCUGCUGCGGGCAGAUGAAAUGGAUAUGGCUGUCGAUCCCGCCUGCGGUCAAAAUCCGGCCCUCACCGGCAAUCGCCUCUGUCCCCGGUCCGAUGAUGAUGUUCACGCCCGGCUGGGUAUCAGGAUUGCCCGCCUUGCCGAUGGCCACAAUGCGCCCGUCUUUAAGGCCGACAUCCGCCUUGAUGAUGCCGGUCCAGUCCACGAUCAGCGCAUUGGUGAUGACCGUAUCCACCGCCCCCGCCGCCCGCGUGACCUGAGACUGCCCCAUCCCGUCGCGGAU
This 288-nucleotide small RNA is filed under the name Yoonia vestfoldensis SKA53. RNAcentral's name for it is "Loktanella vestfoldensis SKA53 5' ureB small RNA". It matches the Rfam family "5' ureB small RNA". The record is from Rfam by way of RNAcentral. Lineage: Bacteria; Pseudomonadati; Pseudomonadota; Alphaproteobacteria; Rhodobacterales; Paracoccaceae.